AGUGAACGCUGGCGGUAGGCCUAACACAUGCAAGCCGAACGGCAGCACAGUAAGAGCUUGCUCUUACGGGUGGCGAGUGGCGGACGGGUGAGGCAUACAUCGGAAUCUACUUUUUCGUGGGGGAUAACGUAGGGAAACUUACGCUAAUACCGCAUACGACCUACGGGUGAAAGCAGUGGAUCUUCGCACCUUGCGCGAUUGAAUGAGCCGAUGUCGGACUAGCUAGUUGGCGGGGUAAAGGCCCACCAAGGCGACGAUCCGUAGCUGGUCUGAGAGGGUGAUCGGCCACACUGGAACUGAGACACGGUCCAGACUCCUACGGGAGGCAGCAGUGGGGAAUAUUGGACAAUGGGCGCAAGCCUGAUCCAGCCAUACCGCGUGGGUGAAGAAGGCCUUCGGGUUGUAAAGCCCUUUUGUUGGGAAAGAAAAGCAGCAGGUUAAUACCCCGCUGUUCUGACGGUACCCAAAGAAUAAGCACCGGCUAACUUCGUG
This 492-nucleotide ribosomal RNA is filed under the name uncultured bacterium. RNAcentral's name for it is "partial 16S ribosomal RNA". It matches the Rfam family "Bacterial small subunit ribosomal RNA", at positions 29 to 507 of the family's 1533-position model. The record is from RNAcentral.